CCUUCUCUGGCCGCGACGUGCAGAACGUCGUACCCGACCUGUUCUUCGCGGCGACGCCCGUCAUGGGCGUCGAGGUGCCGGAGCAGCUCCACCACCACCUCGAGGUGGCCCUUCUCCGCGGCGACCAGGAGCGGCGUCUCCCCGGCCUCGUUGGCCUCCGCGGCGACCAGGAGCGGCGUCUCCCCGGCCUCGUUGGCCUCCGCGGCGACGCUCUGGGCGUCGAGGUGCCGGAGCAGCUCCACCACCACCUCGAGGUGGCCCUUCUCCGCGGCGACCAGGAGCGGCGUCUUCCCGGCCUCGUUGGCCUCUCCGGCGACGCCCUGGGCGUCGAGGUGCCGGAGCAGCUCCACCACCACCUCGAG
RNAcentral lists this long non-coding RNA (362 nucleotides) under Hordeum vulgare. RNAcentral describes it as "long non-coding RNA (HVUL_LNC010842)". The record is from RNAcentral. Lineage: Eukaryota; Viridiplantae; Streptophyta; Magnoliopsida; Poales; Poaceae.